RNAcentral lists this ribosomal RNA (273 nucleotides) under uncultured bacterium. RNAcentral's name for it is "partial 16S ribosomal RNA". It matches the Rfam family "Bacterial small subunit ribosomal RNA", at positions 523 to 796 of the family's 1533-position model. The record is from RNAcentral.
AUACAGAGGGUGCGAGCGUUAAUCGGAAUUACUGGGCGUAAAGCGCGCGUAGGCGGUCUAUUAAGUCAGAUGUGAAAUCCCAGGGCUCAACCUUGGAACUGCAUCUGAUACUGGUAGACUAGAGUUUGGAGAGGGAAGUAGAAUUUCAGGUGUAGCGGUGAAAUGCAUAGAGAUCUGAAGGAAUACCAGUGGCGAAGGCGACUUCCUGGCCAAAAACUGACGCUGAGGUGCGAAAGCGUGGGUAGCAAACGGGAUUAGAUACCCUAGUAGUCC